GUGUUGAGAGAAGGGUUGGAGAAGACUAGCGCUGCCCUAGACGAGGAUGGAGAGGCCCAUGGGCCUGACAACACACACACAUGGCCUGCACCUCUCCUUCAGUCCCCAUCUCCAU
Molecule: non-coding RNA, 115 nt
Filed under: Octodon degus (degu)
Lineage: Eukaryota; Metazoa; Chordata; Mammalia; Rodentia; Octodontidae
Source: RNAcentral